Rhinolophus ferrumequinum (greater horseshoe bat) is the source of this 705-nucleotide long non-coding RNA. RefSeq lists it as uncharacterized. NCBI's taxonomy places the organism in Eukaryota, Metazoa, Chordata, Mammalia, Chiroptera, Rhinolophidae. The transcript has 3 exons. The record is from RefSeq and is a predicted model, not a curated record.
AAGGCCAACAGGCCGUGGAACCCCCAGAUAGAACCACUCACCUGGGGGAGCCAGUCAGCCAGCCAUUUGCAGCUAAAAGGCUUUCCCUGUGACCACUUGCAAGCACAACUCGACCAUCCUGUUCCUGCUGCCAACUGUUCAGACUUUGUUAAAUUAACACACGUUGAGUAGAGAGAGCACAGUGUGCCUGGAUGGUGAGCUGGUUCAACAGACCACAGGAGAAACUGAAAUAGAGAAGUUUCUCAAUCACAGGCCUGGAGGAGAUUCACAGCACGCCUGGAGGGGCCCCACGGGAAGUCAAGGCGGAGUGCAGACCACAGAGAAUACCAUAGACGGGCUGGCUUAUAAACAGGAGAAAUUUCUCUCAGUUCUGGAGGCUGGGGAGUCCAAGGUCAAGACACCAGCAGACUCAUGUCUGAUGUGGAUUCAUUCUCCCCAAAGCUGCUGUGUUCUCACUUAUCCAAAAUCCCAACUAGUCAGCUGUAUACCAAAAAAUACACGCAGAUGUAAGGAACUUAGAAGUUGCCAUUCUAUCAACACAACGAACUAGAAAUUGAAUGUACUGAACAAUCAACAACUCUUCUUAGAACCAUCAGAGAAGUGAGGUCACAGGGCAAGUCGCUGCACCCCACAUUGGAGACAAACAGGCAGAUUCAGAGAAUCACAACUUACCAGAGCAGAAACAUCCACGUGGACUAAUUUGGG